Otolemur garnettii (small-eared galago) is the source of this 1433-nucleotide RNA transcript. It is a transcript of the gene named annexin A1 pseudogene, with no coding region annotated. The transcript has a single exon. The record is from RefSeq and is a predicted model, not a curated record. Lineage: Eukaryota; Metazoa; Chordata; Mammalia; Primates; Galagidae.
AAAAAUCUGGUAGAAACCCUCAGAGCAGAAUCUCUGUUUAGUUCUCUGGAAGAGGAUUGAAACACAGACACUUCUUUAAAAAUGGCAAUGGUAUCAGAAUUCCUCAAGCAGGCCUGGUUCAUUGAAAAUGAAGAGCAGCAGUACCUUAAUACUGUGAAGUCAUCCAAAGGUGGUCCUGGGUUGGCGGUGAGCCCCUAUCCUUCCUUCAAUCCAUCUGCAGAUGUUGCGGCCAUCCACCAAGCCCUGACGGUUAAAGGUGUAGAUGAAGGGACCAUCAUUGACAUACUAACUAAGAGAACCAAUGCUCAGCGUCAACAGAUCAAAGCAGCGUAUCUCCAGGAGAAGGGAAAGCCCCUGGAUGAAAUGCUGAAGAAGGCCCUUACAGGCCACCUGGAGGAAGUUGCUUUAGCACUGCUAAAAACCCCAGCACAGUUCGAUGCUGAUGAACUCCGUGCUGCCAUGAAGGGCCUUGGAACUGAUGAAGACACUCUGAUUGAAAUAUUGACAUCAAGAGGUAACAAAGAAAUCAGAGAAAUUAACAGAGUCUACAGAGAUGAACUGAAAAGAGAUCUGGCCAAAGAUAUAACCUCAGACACAUGUGGAGAUUUCCGGAAUGCUUUGCUUUCUCUUGCUAAGGGUGACCGAAGUGAGGAUUUCGGUGUAAAUGAAGACUUGGCUGAUACGGAUGCCCGGGCCUUAUAUGAAGCAGGAGAAAAGAGAAAGGGGACAGAUACCAACGUGUUCGUUACCAUUCUUACCACCAGGAGCUACCCCCAUCUUCGCAGAGUGUUUCAGAAAUAUACCAAGUACAGUAAGCAUGACAUGAACAAAGCUCUGGACCUGGAGAUGAAAGGUGACAUUGAGAAAUGUCUCACAGCCAUUGUGAAGUGCGCUACCAGCAAACCAGCUUUCUUUGCCGAGAAGCUUCAUCAUGCCAUGAAGGGUGUUGGAACUCGUCAUAAGGAAUUGAUCAGGAUUAUGGUUUCCCGUUCUGAAGUUGACACGAAUGAUAUCAAGGCAUUCUAUCAGAAGAAGUAUGGCGUCUCUCUUUGCCAAGCCAUCAUGGAUGAAACCAAGGGAGAUUAUGAAAAAAUCUUGGUGUCUCUUUGUGGAGGAAACUAAACAUUCCUUUCAUGGUCUCAAGCAUUUUGGUCAGAAGAUAUUUUAAUUAUUUUAGUUAUAUCUCUUCUUUCUAUCACAUAGGCUUCAUAAGAAAGUUUCUUCAGGAGGAUUACAGUGUAGCUACCUGAUUUCUGAAACAUACAGCCUAUAAAUAAUUUUUAUAUCACAACUCUGUAUAACAGAGAUAAGCUAGUUUUUUUUGAUAUGUUUACCUUGAACCAAAAACCCCACACUCAAGUUGUUCUAGCAACAUUACUUGGGGAAGAUGUCUAUGUAGAAGAAAAUAAAAUAAUGUUAUAAGACAAAAAAAA